RNAcentral lists this unclassified non-coding RNA (694 nucleotides) under Hevea brasiliensis (rubber tree). Lineage: Eukaryota; Viridiplantae; Streptophyta; Magnoliopsida; Malpighiales; Euphorbiaceae. The record is from RNAcentral.
AAGAUAUCAUUAGAAGGUGUCACAGCAUGCAGAAACCAGUGAUUGUAGCAACAAACAUGCUGGAAAGCAUGAUUAAUCAUCCUACACCAACAAGGGCUGAAGUUUCAGACAUAGCAAUUGCAGUACGUGAAGGUGCUGAUGCAGUCAUGCUUUCUGGAGAAACUGCCCAUGGAAAGUAUCCGCUGAAAGCUGUUAAAGUCAUGCAUACAGUAGCAUUGAGGACAGAGUCAAGUCUUCCAGUCAACAUAACACCUCCUGCUGAUGGUGCCUAUAAGGGCCAUAUGGGCGAAAUGUUUGCUUUCCAUGCCACAAUUAUGGCUAACACUCUCAAUACACCCAUCAUUGUCUUCACAAGAACAGGAUCAAUGGCUGUACUUCUAAGUCAUUAUCGACCUUCAUCAACAAUAUUUGCCUUCACAAAUGAAGAGAGGAUUAAGCAGAGACUGUCACUUUAUCGGGGUGUUAUGCCAAUAUAUAUGCAAUUCUCAAGUGAUGCAGAGGAGACCUUCUCCCGAGCCCUCACACUAUUACUGAACAAGGGUCUUUUGGUAGAAGGAGAGCACGUCACUCUUGUUCAGAGUGGAGCGCAGCCAAUCUGGCGUCAAGAAUCUACUCAUCACAUUCAAGUUCGCAAGGUCCAGAGCUGAUUUUGCACCAGCAAAGCUUUUUAUUGGACAGGUUAUUUUGUAGUAGC